This is an RNA transcript of Anopheles arabiensis, 5289 nucleotides long. It is a transcript of the gene named casein kinase II subunit beta, with no coding region annotated. The record is from RefSeq and is a predicted model, not a curated record. Lineage: Eukaryota; Metazoa; Arthropoda; Insecta; Diptera; Culicidae. The transcript has 7 exons.
CGAAACGGUGCAACUGGCCGUCCCGUUUGUUGCCCGUACCGUGCCCCGCCCGCCCGUGUACGAUUUGGGCGUGAAAGAUUGCGCCCGGGGUCGGAAAAACCGGUCACAAGUGUGUGCAGUGCAGUACGAGCGGCUUUCCUCCGUCAUCGUGUCACCGUCAUUUUUUCGCUCGUCUGCUGCUGCUCUCCUUGUACCGUGUGCGUGUGUGUGUGUGUGUGUGUGUACGUACGGUGUGUGCGGUGUAUGCGUGUGUGUAGGAGCGAGUGUGUUAAAGUCAGAGCUGCACGCGUUUUCGCUGUGCCGCAGCAAAUUGGGUAUCGAAUCGAACUUUCGGUGCGGAAAAGCGGAAGGACACAGCGCGAAACACGAACGUGUACGAUCCGGUCGCCUCGCACCCACCCCCUCCCAUCCCUCGCUCCCUCAACACCCGGAAGUCGGUGAAAUCGCACAGUUGUGAGGAAUUGGAAACAGGGUGCCGUGAAAAUGAGUAGCUCUGAGGAGGUAUCAUGGAUUUCUUGGUUUUGCGGACUGCGCGGUAAUGAAUUCUUCUGUGAGGUGGACGAGGAUUACAUACAGGACAAAUUUAACCUGACCGGACUCAACGAACAGGUACCGAACUACCGUCAUGCGCUGGAUAUGAUUCUGGACCUCGAGCCCGAGGAUGAAAUUGACGAUAAUCCCAACCAGUCGGAUCUGAUCGAGCAGGCGGCGGAGAUGCUGUACGGUUUGAUACACGCUAGAUACAUUCUCACCAACCGUGGCAUAGCUCAAAUGAUAGAAAAAUAUCAAAGUGGAGACUUUGGGCACUGCCCACGCGUUUACUGUGAAAGUCAACCAAUGCUUCCGCUAGGUCUGUCGGAUGUGCCCGGUGAGGCGAUGGUAAAGUCCUACUGUCCCAAAUGCAUCGACGUUUACACACCAAAGUCCUCUAGACAUCAUCAUACCGAUGGCGCAUACUUCGGAACUGGAUUCCCGCACAUGCUGUUCAUGGUACACCCAGAGUACCGUCCUAAGCGUCCCGCAAAUCAAUUCAUACCACGUCUCUACGGUUUUAAGAUUCACUCCUUAGCGUAUCAAAUCCAACUGCAGGCGGCAGCGAACUUUAAGGCACCGCUUCGAGGGGUAAAUGGCACCGUGGUGACUUACACAAAUCCAAAGUUAAACUAAUAACCAAUUUUUAAUGCAAAACUGUUCUCUCUCUCUCUCCGCAUUCGUGUAUCGUGCUCCUCCUCUGAGUGCAAUGGCAUCAGUUUUUCUUUUGUCGGGUCGUUUUUUUCCAUACCAUUGCACAAUUUUUCUCCAACCAAAAAGUCCUACUGGAAUUCCGAUUGCAAGUUUGCUAACACAGAUUAUUAAGACGAUCCUAUAAGAGAAUUCUACUUCUAGUAAUGUCAUUGAAAAUGAAUCAUUUCGGCAUACAUUUUGGAGACAAUCACGUUUACUCGGAUGUCUUGUUUAUCUGAACACAAUCAAGAUACAUACUUGAUGAUUAUACAUCAAUUGCAAUUUUUAAUUGUUGCAAUCUUUUUCAUUAUUACUUGCGAUUUGUUCUAUUAAUUAUAUUUUCUUCCUUUUAUACAUUAUCGUAUCCGCGUUGCUUGUCUUUGUUGAUUGAAACCAAAAUGUUCAAUAAACUGCAAGCACUGAAAUAUUCACCUAGUAUUUAGUUUCUUAUAAUUUUGUUUCCUCAUGCUUUCCUUCAAUUAAAUAUUUACGUAUCCAUGUUCAUACAAUAGUGCGUGUACAGGCGUAUUUUUCCGUAUUUUUCUAGAUAAUUCAUCGAUCACUGAUCGAAGAUAUACAGCUUUGUGUGAGAAUUUGUGUGCAAAAUUGGUUACUUGAAUGGCAUGGCCGCUCCGCCAGCCGAUUGUUUUUGUUUACUGUGCUAAACGAAAUUUCUCUUCUCUUCCCUAUGUGUUUUGUGGUAUCUAAAAACAACUCCGUGUUUUGUGUGCGUGUGAUACCGCAUGAUGUAUGUGAAUAAUUGUCCCGUUACAACAUCCCACGAAUCAUCCUCCAAACACGCUCCAAAAACAAUACCGACGUCAUCUUCAUCGUUCCAAAAACUGAAGAGCUCGGCGAAGGGCAUCGACAACUGAACCGCAAGCCGCCGAGACUAUAUCGAAAAGAUAGUUUGAGCCAGCCGCCACCCUCUCGAUAUAGGAUCAACCAAGCAACUAAGCAACCAUCCCCUUGCUACUAAUACCACCAUCAUCAUCCAUCCCCUCCCCUCCCUUACAUCAAGCGGAAAGCGUGUUCGUGUGUGUGUGCGUGCGUGCGUGCGAGUGUUAGAGAUGCAAAAGCGGAAGCCAGAUCCCCCAGGGGGGAAGAUACAAUCGCGGAAAAGUGUUUCGUGAAAUGUCCUAGCAGAACACGCAUCAUAUUUAGGAUGCUGUAUGCGUCGUUCGGUAGAGUUUUGUUAAUAGUUUUUUUUUCUUUUUAUAAAAUCACACAUUGAUUUAUUCGCGCAUCCACAUGGAUGGAAUGUAGCUGUGUGUGUGUUGAAUAAUGUUUUUUUCCACGUGCUUUAGAAACAAAUAUGAAAACAAACGGAUCCACUAGACGCAGUGCAUCCCCAUCCCCUCUCCUUCUCGCUUUUUCCACACGAUAUCUCGGCGCGAUCGAUAGUGAAAAGUGUGUUCUAGGCAUCUUGUGCGCGUUGCGCUGGGAACAUUCACGAUACAUAGCAGGCGAACACGUGUUAUACGCAUGCACACCACUCAAACACACACACACACACAUAGAGCGGAAAAUCGAGUAACAGCAGCAGCAGAAGCAAAAGUAGUAGCAGAUAGAAACACGUAGGGAGAGCGCAAAAGAAAAAAAAAGAAAAGAACGGAAACAACAAAAAUAAAAUAAUCCACGUAGAAAAAUAGAACGAAGACGCCGAGACGGACGGCGGGCCGGAGGAUCUAUGGAUAUGGAAGAUGAUGAAAGUAAUUAAUACACACACACACACAUACAUACACGCGAGGUACGUUAAUGUAAACCAAGCAGUCUUGGAAUCAUCUCUCAACUCUCUCUCUCUCACCCUUUCCGCUCCACCCAUUUUCUAAUUUGCUGACCCCCCAUGCGUUUGUUGAUGAUCGCGGGCAGAAGGAACAAAACAAACCCGCAUUUCUUGCCCCAUUUUGUGUCUAAACAUCAAUACUUGCAUUGAAAGCGUUAAGCAAGCUCCAUCUUCAAAACUAAUUUAUGGGUAAAAAUAGGAAAAUUUUAAACAAAACGUAGAGCCGGAUGAUGAAUAUCCUGUUAUAAUUAUAUUGGUCGAGGAUUUGCUUUAAAAAAACGCUGCGUUUUUCAACAGAAAAUGGUGCGCCAGGGGAAACCCGAGAAUGGAUUGAAUUGAAUUGAUUGCGCAAAUUCUUGUAGGAAUUAUAACAUGGUGAUUGUAUUCCAAUUGUACAGAGCAAUGAAGCUGUGUUUAGUAAGCGAAUCGUAUUGUCCUACUUACAGUUGGAAGUUUUCGGUCACAAUCGUGUUUGAUUUUCCGGGGUUUUCAAUUUUUUUCUUCUUGUUUUCAUAUUUUCUUUAUUUGCACCUUUCGCCGGAAUGUUUUUCCCCUUUAACAUACAUUCGACCACUCUGUUACAAUGUCCCGUUGGCAGAUGAUCACAAUGGCGAUUCUCGUGGCACGGUGCGUCUAUCGUGUUCGUUUGUGUAGUUUUUCUCUAUUAUCAUCGUGUAGUGUUUCGUAGAAAGGAAAUAAUUGUGCAAAGGAAACGCUUGAAAUCUCCUAGAUGCAGAGGGUGGUGGGGGGGGCUAGAAUAUGGAUUAUAAGGAUACACAAAAAAGAACUGUCCAUCGGGCCAGUCGAAGCGGAAGGAAAGGAAAGGGUUCAGCUAAGAUGUAAGAGGAACAAACAAGCAAGGUGGAAGAAGAUAGUACCACAAUGAAUAAAGCAAAAGAACAAUAACCACACACACACACACCCACUCAUAAGAAAACCGGGAAAAGAGAAAGAAUAAGGCGAAAAUACACACACACACACACAAGGAAGAGGCAAAUGGUAGCACGUUUGAAAAGAAAUUGAAGCAACGGUCCUCAAGAAUCACACCCAAAUCUCCAAUAUUUAAGCAGAUUAUGCAACACAAGAAAAGAAGAAAAAAAACUUCAUUAAACAACCAUAUUAAGACCACCAUGCCACCUCUCCCACCCUCUCCUCCAUCUUCUAUCAUCGUAUCAACACUUGUGUGUUUCGGGAGAUGAAAACGGCUUGUCUGGCAGCGGCGGCGCUAAUAAGCCGCCACGGAUCCCUGCAACUGUGUGUGUGUGUGUGUGUGUCUCUGUGUAGGGUUAGGUAAUAAUAUUUUUAAUCCAUUUUAGUUUAUCCUUGAUGAGCGCGAGUAGCGCGCGCCACAACACGCAAAACAGCAAGGGGGAAAACUAUAGAAGGAAAAUACAGGGGAGAAGAAGAAAACGAGGGGAAGAAAAAAGAUACUGAAAAACCGCAUCUUUUUCACGAUAAAUAUUUAUCUGUUUUUGUUAUUCAUUUUUGCUCGCGCGCGUAUGGAGGGUCAGGGGUGUUAAAAUUAGUUCCAUUUAAAAGAAAAGACCCCUCCCUCCUCUUCCACCAGUUUCAAUGCCUCAUAAUCCAUCUCCAGCGCAGGCACAGCUGUGUGUUUCAAACACUGAUUUGCAACCUUUCCGAGGCACGAGUGGAAGGGUUGGCCGCAUCCCCUACUUCUUCUAUUACUAAUACAACAUCUAACUUAGGGCAUUUUUUAAAACAAAUAUUGGAAAGGAAAUAUCAAUUUCUAUUUUUCUGUCAUUUUGUUUCCUUCAUUUACACCUCCCCCACUGACACGAAUGUCCAAUAACUAGGAGAAGAAAAACAAACAAAUGGCAUUUGCAAUUUUGUGUGAGAGCAGCAGCAAAUGGAAGGCGAGAGGAAGGAAGGAGCAGGCAGUGUAAUUGAGCAGGAAGAGCAACGGCGGAACACGCGGGAGAGGGAAUGUGCGCGAAGACACUAUUUGGUUCGUGCGCGCCCUCCCUCUUGGCAAGGGAGGGAAAUCAUUAUUAUAAUAAUAAAGAAACAACAAAACAAAACAAAAAUUUAAAGCAACUGCAUUAUUAGCGAACAAACUAAAGCAGCAACAAUAAAAAAAAAACAACGGAAGAAAGAGAAAGAGUAACAACAAGGAGUGGGUAAACAAAAUACAAAGAGAAACAGAAAAAAAAAACAAACAAUUCAUACACAAACAACCAAGAAGAAACAGGCAACAGACAGAGCAGCGCAACAAGUAAAACCUCCAAAAUUUCUUUCUCACAGUAAAAAACAAACAAACA